CCAGCACAGGGACAGUCUUAAUCACCGUAAUACCAGGGUGGCCACCAUCACACGUCCCACGACAACAGGGCCCUCAUUGCACAUCACCAAGUGACCCAGCUCCAGAAUGCCCUCCUGUAGUGGCGUUCUCAGGGCUGCGACUCUCUUAGCUUAAGAUCCCCCCAAAGUAGAACCCGAUGCCAAGGCUUGUGUACAGGGAGUUUAUUUUGGAAGUCAUUCUAGGGACCAGAAAUGAGGGACGAACAGGAGUGGGAAACAAGAGAGAGCAGAAGAGCCAAGAUAACGGUGCAUUAUUAGGUCACUGCCGUGGGUGGCUGGGGCUCAGCCCUGCCAGGACCUUCCAAGCAGUGCACAGAGGGACCUUAUGGGUCAGAUGACGGCCUGGCAGAAGCAUUCACCUGGUGGCGCCUGUGCACCCCAGAUUGAGGCUGGCUCAGUGGAAGCAACUUCCCUCCACAAGUCCUCCGGCUGAGCCCGCUUCUGCCAACCUUGUGUUGGGGCGCUGCGGAAGCCCCUGGGCAGAAAAUGAAAACUGCCUCAUGCUGACAGGAGGCGAGGUGCUGGUGGUGCAAAGGGAGCUGAAGCCCGCCCGGAACUGCUUGCCACAGCAUGGCUGGAAAUAGAGUUGUAGCCGUGCACGCGGCAGGCGGCGUUCAGAAGGAAUCUGGUGCAUUCUCUCGUAGUUAUGAAAACAGGCUCUGGAGCCAGGCUGUCUUGAUUCCAAUCCUUCUGCUGUGCUUCCUUUCCUUCCACUUACAGAAGGGGGAAUACUAAGAAGAAAGUACUUUAUAGGGUUGUUAUGAAGUAAAUGAGAAAAUUCAUGCAAGAUGCUUGUAAUAGUGCCUGGCACAUAAUAAAUACUCAAUUAAGAGGGGCUUCUAAUAUCCCCAUUUUACAGUUGAGGAAACUAAGAUACAUAUUUUUUGAGGGAUGAGGAGAAAGGGGACAAAGAAAGGGAGGGAAGGAUUUUGAGUAGAUCCCGCUCAAACCUCCAGAGAAGCGGAGGCCCUGGCUCUCUCAGCGUUUCUAUGUCCUCUUCCCCUAUCACAGGAGAGGCCUAAGGAUGGGCAGCAAAGGCUUUCUUCCCCAAACAGGCAUUCAAGCUUCCUCUGCUCCAGCUACAGGGUCCGUGGGUUCCUUGUGAUGUCACAGCUGGUUGCUAUGGAGACCAGGUUGCUGUGAAUGUCAGUCCGAGGCCCAUUAGGAGCACAGUGAACAGCAGCCCAGGCGAGCCCAGGGAGGCAAGAAAAUGAGGCUCCCCGUGAGGUCUAAUAAACACCUCUCGCCACACCCCAAACACAUAGACACGCAAUAGAGCCCAUAGGUCCUGAGUGAGUCCCCCUGGCCCACCCCAUUCAGCUGAGAUCUGACAACAUAUGUUUGGGGACAAACAGCCCCAGCAGCCAGGAGCAGGCCACAUCAUACAUAGUCAGCAUCAGCCAUGGUCCCCUCCCACUCUCCUGGGGGAAAAAGGUGCUUUACAGGCAGCGUGGCAUCCGAGCAUCCCCAUGGCGAUGCUGAGGUCAGACCUCACUGUGGUGAUCUCACGCUGGGGCCACCGGACUCAGGCCAGGCUGGGAGUAGGCUGUCUAGCCAUUGCUGGCUGUCAUUGUCACCAAGGGAAGGGGAGAAGCUGUGAAGAGUUGCUCUGGAAAAAACAAAUCUGCUCAUAGGACAAUGGGUCUGGGUGAACCUAUCCCGGCCCUCUUGGCUGCUGGGCCAGGGCCUGGUUUUUCACAGGGCACCAUUGAGACCACAGGAAGUGGCUUCCUGCCUCUGAAGACAGCACACAACUGCCCUAGAAAGCGCUCUUGUCACCCCUGCUGUGAGUCCCCCAGUGGGUUGCUUUGAGAGCCUUUCCUUUUACUGUGUAUGGGGAAAAUCUUCUGGGGGGAUUGGCAGAGGUGGGGGGAAGCACCCUAUGCCCUUCUCUGGAUCGCAGGGUAUCCUCCCUCCAUGCUCUGGCGAGGCACUGACCACCCCCUUCCCCAGGGCUGAGCCAGACUCCAGGCAGCCUCCAGCCACCCGUGCCUCCGGUUCACCCCUGCCUGCCUGCCCGCCUGCUGCUGUCCUCAGCCAAGCCCUUCUGCAUUCCCCGGCUCGAGGCCCCACUGUACUACCUGCCUAGUUGGGACACUUUUGCAGGAGGGACUGUCGCCUUUCUUUUGCUGGACUUUUAUUUUUUUGAGACAGAGUCUUGCUCUGUUGCCCAGGCUGGAGUGCAAUUGCACAAUCUCGGCUCAUUGCAAGCUCCGCCUCCCAGGUUCAAGUGAUUCUCCUGCCUCAGCCUCCCUAGUUGCUAAGACUACAGGGUAGAGAAUCAGAGGCUUGUAGAUGUCUUUGCCACUUCCACGGGAUCUCUGGGAGCUGGAAACUGAGCUUUAAGAAAUAACUAUAGUGCAAAGGUGAGUAUAAAUAUAAUCAGGUUUUCAUCAUGUUCUUCCUGCAAAAUUCUCUUGGAAAUGACAACCAACCUCCAUUCUAUUGCAGGGAACUAAGGGAAAAGGGUUCAGCCCAAAGCAGAAGGGACUGUGAUGAUCACAGUGACCUCCUGAGGCCAGCAUGGUGGUAGCAGCCAGAGACAGCAGCUGAGUGAGACCCUAAGGGAGGGAUGAGCCAGGCAGUGUGUGGUUGGAGUUCUCCCUACACAUCUCGUUUUCCUCACCUCCAGAUCACACACAUGCACACACACAUAUGCACCCACACACCCCUUACACACUCCGGCCCGAAGGUUUCUGCAGGACUCCUUCCUGGCACUCUCUCCAGUGCUGCCAGCGUCGCACCACACUGCAAGGCUUUGCAAACUUUCCUUCCAAAGUGAAGGAGACCCUCUGGCCAUCUGAGGCUCGGUCUGAAGCAACAGCCUCAGAGCGCAAUCUCAGGCAUGCAGGAAGUGCAGGAAGGCCACGUGCCACAUACGUUAUCUCACUUAAUCUCAUUAGCAGGAAAUGUCUUUAAAGUCUUAUGUUGGUGCUUAAAAAUUCCUGAGCAGUUUAGCCCUUAAUAAAGCCAGGCUUUUUAAAAUUUGAAAUGAGGUUGAGAAAACUGUGGUCAUCGGAAUUCCCUUCAGAGACAACACUUAGCUGAGUCUCUUGGUUGUAGGGAGGAGGCUGAUGGCGGCAGAGGGGGCAGUGGGGAUGGCAGAGAGUGGGGGGAGCAUGCCAAGGGGACAUUUAAGUGAGAAAAGGUGAUACUAAAUCGCUCCAUAUUAUGUGGAGUGAGGAGGAAAGAGGGUAUGUUUGGGGGUGGGGAGAGUGUGUGUGUAUGUGAGAGAGAAUGUGUGUGUGUGUAUGAGAGUGUGUGUGUAUGUGAGAGAAUGUGUGCGUGUGAGAGUGUGUGAGACAGAGACAGUGUGUGUGUAUGUGAGAGAGAAUGUGUGUGUGUGAGUGUGUGUGAGACAGAGACAGUGUGUGUGUAUGUGAGGGAGAAUGUGUGUGUGACUGUGGGUAUGAAUGAGAGAAUGUGUGUGUGACUGUGUGUGUGAGAAUGUGUGUGAGAAAAUGUGUGUGAGAGAGUGUGUGAGUGUGUAAGUGAGAGAGAGAAUGUGUGUGUGUGACAGUGUGUGUGUAUGUGAGUGUGUGUGAGAGUGUGUGUGUAUGUGAGAGAGAAUGUGUGUGUGAGAGAGUAUGUGUAUGUGUGUGAGAAAGUGUGUGAGUGUGCAUGCAUGUGUGUGUAGGGUGUGCAAGAUCGAGCAGAGAGAUUGAAGCAAGUGAGGCUGGGAGCUGCUUCAAGGAGGAAGAGAGGGAAAGAAAGAGAAAGGCUUGCCUGUCAGAGGAGGAGCUAGAGAAGAAAAUGUGAGCUGGAGUUCAUGCAGGGGAAGGGAGAUGGGCUGUGUGGUGUGCUCCUCUUAGCAGAGGGCUUGAAAAUCUCCAGCAGGACUCGGCCUGUGUCCCCUGGACUUUGGUAUCCUUGGCAGUGCCUUGGACCUCACUGGGUACUGGAACCCACUGGUCUGUCUUUCCCACUAGACUGUGAUUGUCUCAGGGGUAGGCAAUGUGUGGCUUCCUCCCUGAGCCUCAGGCCUAGCCCAGUGCCAGGACUCAUCAAUAUUGUUUGAACUGGCUGAGCUCCAAGCAGGUGGGUUUGGAGGUUUUCACUCUUUGUUUGUUUUCUAGGUUGGUCUUAUUUAACAAGGCAGGCAGCCUGGGGUCAGACCCAAAUUCUUGCCUGCCCAGUUUCAGUCCUGCCUGGAGAAUGAGAUGGGCCUGACUCCCUCAGGCUGGAGCCCAGAUGAGUUCCUGGGUGCAACAGAGGAGGCAGUUGGAGCAAUGGGGACUGCCCAGUGGGAGGGAGGCGGAGCCAGUCUUAUUGUUGAGAGGGCAGAGGGCAGAAGGGACUCCUCUUGGCAGUUGGUCCAGCUCUGGGCUACCUUGUCCAUCCUGAGCCCUAGGAAAGAAAACAAAAGGAGCCUUGCAGUGCAGGCCUGUGUGGUCCAGAAAAAGAAAGGUAAAAUCUCCCAUGGCUGCUGCUUUCGGUCCGACAGGCAUCAGGCUGAGCUACUCGGGCUGCUUUUCCCCUCUGGGUGAGGAUGCACCAACACGAACAUACAGAGCGGCUGCUUCUACACAAAGGGACCCCAGGAGAGCAGGAGAGGCAUUUGUGGGACGUCACGGGGAACUUGUUGUCCACCUGGAAGGGGCUGCCAAGUCAGACUCUUCUUUGGGGAGAGGAGACAGGUAGCGCCCCUGUGGGGUGCCAGGGUUUGGCCAUCACUCAACGACGGCCGGGCCGGUGCCUUAAGGAGCUCGGGGAAGGAGAACACACCUGCGCAGCAUCAGCCCAGUUCUAGUGUGAGUCAUCACCAAGUAGCUGAUGGCAGCUGUGGAACAAGAGCAGGUACAG
RNAcentral lists this long non-coding RNA (4842 nucleotides) under Homo sapiens (human). RNAcentral's name for it is "HSALNT0174698". The record is from RNAcentral. Lineage: Eukaryota; Metazoa; Chordata; Mammalia; Primates; Hominidae.